CUACGGGGUGCAGCAGUGGGGAAUAUUGCACAAUGGAGGAAACUCUGAUGCAGCAACGCCGCGUGGAGGAUGACACUUUUCGGAGCGUAAACUCCUUUUAUAUAGGAAGAAGAUGACGGUACUAUAUGAAUAAGCGCCGGCUAACUCCGUGCCAGCAGCCGCGGUAAUACGGAGGCGCAAGCGUUACUCGGAAUCACUGGGCGUAAAGAGCGUGUAGGCGGAUUAAAAAGUCAGAAGUGAAAUCCUAUAGCUUAACUAUAGAACUGCUUCUGAAACUCUUAAUCUAGAAUAUGGGAGAGGUAGAUGGAAUUUCUGGUGUAGGGGUAAAAUCCGUAGAGAUCAGAAGGAAUACCGAUUGCGAAGGCGAUCUACUAGAACAUUAUUGACGCUGAGACGCGAAAGCGUGGGGAGCAAACAGGAUUAGAUACCCGGGUAGUC
This 438-nucleotide ribosomal RNA is filed under the name uncultured bacterium. RNAcentral describes it as "partial 16S ribosomal RNA". It matches the Rfam family "Bacterial small subunit ribosomal RNA", at positions 339 to 795 of the family's 1533-position model. The record is from RNAcentral.